GUACUUGCUUUGACAGCACAUAUACUAAAAUUGGAACAACACAGAGAAGAUUAGCAUGGCCCCUGCACAAGGAUGAUACACAAAUUUGUGGAGCAUUCCAUUUUUUA
Perognathus longimembris pacificus (Pacific pocket mouse) is the source of this 107-nucleotide small nuclear RNA. Lineage: Eukaryota; Metazoa; Chordata; Mammalia; Rodentia; Heteromyidae. The record is from RefSeq and is a predicted model, not a curated record.